AUUGAACGCUGGCGGCAGGCCUAACACAUGCAAGUCGAACGGUAGCACAGAGAGCUUGCUCUCGGGUGACGAGUGGCGGACGGGUGAGUAAUGUCUGGGAAACUGCCCGAUGGAGGGGGAUAACUACUGGAAACGGUAGCUAAUACCGCAUAACGUCGCAAGACCAAAGUGGGGGACCUUCGGGCCUCACACCAUCGGAUGUGCCCAGAUGGGAUUAGCUAGUAGGUGGGGUAAUGGCUCACCUAGGCGACGAUCCCUAGCUGGUCUGAGAGGAUGACCAGCCACACUGGAACUGAGACACGGUCCAGACUCCUACGGGAGGCAGCAGUGGGGAAUAUUGCACAAUGGGCGCAAGCCUGAUGCAGCCAUGCCGCGUGUAUGAAGAAGGCCUUCGGGUUGUAAAGUACUUUCAGCGGGAGGAAGGCGGUGAAGUUAAUAACUUCACCGAUUGACGUUACCCGCAGAAGAAGCACCGGCUAACUCCGUGCCAGCAGCCGCAGUAA
This 503-nucleotide ribosomal RNA is filed under the name uncultured bacterium. Its description in RNAcentral is "partial 16S ribosomal RNA". It matches the Rfam family "Bacterial small subunit ribosomal RNA", at positions 30 to 523 of the family's 1533-position model. The record is from RNAcentral.